Molecule: non-coding RNA, 46 nt
Filed under: Trichobilharzia regenti
Lineage: Eukaryota; Metazoa; Platyhelminthes; Trematoda; Strigeidida; Schistosomatidae
Source: RNAcentral
GUUCUGAUGAAGAGUCCCAAAAUAGGACGAAACAGCUGUUUAGUAC